Molecule: ribosomal RNA, 253 nt
Filed under: uncultured bacterium
Lineage: Bacteria
Description: partial 16S ribosomal RNA
Rfam family: Bacterial small subunit ribosomal RNA
Source: RNAcentral
UACAGAGGUCCCAAGCGUUGUUCGGAUUCAUUGGGCGUAAAGGGUGCGUAGGUGGCGGGGUAAGUCUGGUGUGAAAUCUCGGGGCUCAACCCCGAAACUGCACUGGAUACUGCCUUGCUCGAGUACUGGAGAGGAGAUUGGAAUUUACGGUGUAGCAGUGAAAUGCGUAGAUAUCGUAAGGAAGACCAGUGGCGAAGGCGAAUCUCUGGACAGUUACUGACACUGAGGCACGAAGGCCAGGGGAGCAAACGGG